UGGGGAAUCUUGCGCAAUGGGCGAAAGCCUGACGCAGCGACGCCGCGUGAGUGAUGAAGGCCUUCGGGUUGUAAAGCUCUGUGGAGAGGGACGAAUAAGUGUUGGCUAACAUCCAGCAUGAUGACGGUACCUCUUUAGCAAGCACCGGCUAACUCUGUGCCAGCAGCCGCGGUAAGACAGAGGGUGCAAACGUUGUUCGGAAUUACUGGGCGUAAAGCGCGUGUAGGCUGUUCUGCAAGUCGGAUGUGAAAGCCCUGGGCUCAACCUAGGAAGUGCACUCGAAACUGCAGAACUCGAGUCCUGGAGAGGAAGGCGGAAUUCUCGGUGUAGAGGUGAAAUUCGUAGAUAUCGAGAGGAACACCGGUGGCGAAGGCGGCCUUCUGGACAGUGACUGACGCUGAGACGCGAAAGCGUGGGGAGCAAACAGGAUUAGAUACCCCCGUAGUCC
RNAcentral lists this ribosomal RNA (448 nucleotides) under uncultured bacterium. RNAcentral describes it as "bacterial SSU rRNA". It matches the Rfam family "Bacterial small subunit ribosomal RNA", at positions 355 to 796 of the family's 1533-position model. The record is from RNAcentral.